CCACUAAGCAUCAGUUUGAAUCGAACCGUACCGCAAACCGACACAGGUGGGCAGGAUGAGAAUUCUAAGGCGCUUGAGAGAACUCGGGAGAAGGAACUCGGCAAAUUGAUACCGUAACUUCGGGAGAAGGUAUGCCCUCUAAGGUUAAGGACUUGCUCCGUAAGCCCCGGAGGGUCGCAGAGAAUAGGUGGCUGCGACUGUUUAUUAAAAACACAGCACUCUGCCAACACGAAAGUGGACGUAUAGGGUGUG
Molecule: ribosomal RNA, 252 nt
Filed under: Escherichia coli
Lineage: Bacteria; Pseudomonadati; Pseudomonadota; Gammaproteobacteria; Enterobacterales; Enterobacteriaceae
Description: partial 23S ribosomal RNA
Rfam family: Bacterial large subunit ribosomal RNA
Source: RNAcentral